GUCGAACGGUGAAGCCCAGCUUGCUGGGUGGAUCAGUGGCGAACGGGUGAGUAACACGUGAGCAACCUGCCCCUGACUCUGGGAUAAGCGCUGGAAACGGCGUCUAAUACUGGAUAUGUGACGUGACCGCAUGGUCUGCGUUUGGAAAGAUUUUUCGGUUGGGGAUGGGCUCGCGGCCUAUCAGCUUGUUGGUGAGGUAAUGGCUCACCAAGGCGUCGACGGGUAGCCGGCCUGAGAGGGUGACCGGCCACACUGGGACUGAGACACGGCCCAGAYUCCUACGGGAGGCAGCAGUGGGGAAUAUUGCACAAUGGGCGCAAGCCUGAUGCAGCAACGCCGCGUGAGGGAUGACGGCCUUCGGGUUGUAAACCUCUUUUAGCAGGGAAGAAGCGAAAGUGACGGUACCUGCAGAAAAAGCGCCGGCUAACUACGUGCCAGCAGCCGCGGUAAUACGUAGGGCGCAAGCGUUAUCCGGAAUUAUUGGGCGUAAAGAGCUCGUAGGCGGUUUGUCGCGUCUGCUGUGAAAUCCCGAGGCUCAACCUCGGGCCUGCAGUGGGUACGGGCAGACUAGAGUGCGGUAGGGGAGAUUGGAAUUCCUGGUGUAGCGGUGGAAUGCGCAGAUAUCAGGAGGAACACCGAUGGCGAAGGCAGAUCUCUGGGCCGUAACUGACGCUGAGGAGCGAAAGGGUGGGGAGCAAACAGGCUUAGAUACCCUGGUAGUCCACCCCGUAAACGUUGGGAACUAGUUGUGGGGUCCAUUCCACGGAUUCCGUGACGCAGCUAACGCAUUAAGUUCCCCGCCUGGGGAGUACGGCCGCAAGGCUAAAACUCAAAGGAAUUGACGGGGACCCGCACAAGCGGCGGAGCAUGCGGAUUAAUUCGAUGCAACGCGAAGAACCUUACCAAGGCUUGACAUAUACGAGAACGGGCCAGAAAUGGUCAACUCUUUGGACACUCGUAAACAGGUGGUGCAUGGUUGUCGUCAGCUCGUGUCGUGAGAUGUUGGGUUAAGUCCCGCAACGAGCGCAACCCUCGUUCUAUGUUGCCAGCACGUAAUGGUGGGAACUCAUGGGAUACUGCCGGGGUCAACUCGRAGGAAGGKGGGGAUGACGUCAAAUCAUCAUGCCCCUUAUGUCUUGGGCUUCACGCAUGCUACAAUGGCCGGUACAAAGGGCUGCAAUACCGCGAGGUGGAGCGAAUCCCAAAAAGCCGGUCCCAGUUCGGAUUGAGGUCUGCAACUCGACCUCAUGAAGUCGGAGUCGCUAGUAAUCGCAGAUCAGCAACGCUGCGGUGAAUACGUUCCCGGGUCUUGUACACACCGCCCGUCAAGUCAUGAAAGUCGGUAACACCUGAAGCCGGUGGCCUAACCC
This 1370-nucleotide ribosomal RNA is filed under the name Microbacterium sp. RNAcentral describes it as "bacterial SSU rRNA". The record is from RNAcentral. Lineage: Bacteria; Bacillati; Actinomycetota; Actinomycetes; Micrococcales; Microbacteriaceae.